GGCGGAGUAGAGCAGUUUGGAAGCUCGCAAGGCUCAUAACCUUGAGGUCACAGGUUCAAAUCCUGUCUCCGCAA
This 74-nucleotide transfer RNA is filed under the name Isotoma hypocrateriformis. RNAcentral describes it as "tRNA-Met". It matches the Rfam family "tRNA". From Rfam's summary of the family: Transfer RNA (tRNA) molecules are approximately 80 nucleotides in length. Their secondary structure includes four short double-helical elements and three loops (D, anti-codon, and T loops). Further hydrogen bonds mediate the characteristic L-shaped molecular structure. tRNAs have two regions of fundamental functional importance: the anti-codon, which is responsible for specific mRNA codon recognition, and the 3' end, to which the tRNAs corresponding amino acid is attached (by aminoacyl-tRNA synthetases). tRNAs cope with the degeneracy of the genetic code in two manners: having more than one tRNA (with a specific anti-codon) for a particular amino acid; and 'wobble' base-pairing, i.e. permitting non-standard base-pairing at the 3rd anti-codon position. The record is from RNAcentral. Lineage: Eukaryota; Viridiplantae; Streptophyta; Magnoliopsida; Asterales; Campanulaceae.